UACAGAGGUCCCAAGCGUUGUUCGGAUUCACUGGGCGUAAAGGGUGCGUAGGUGGUGAGGUAAGUCGGAUGUGAAAGCUCGGAGCUCAACUCCGAAAUGGCAUUGGAAACUACCUUGCUCGAGGGUUGGAGGGGGGACUGGAAUGCUUGGUGUAGCAGUGAAAUGCGUAGAUAUCGUAAGGAAGACCAGUGGCGAAGGCGAAUCUCUGGACAGUUACUGACACUGAGGCACGAAGGCCAGGGGAGCAAACAGG
RNAcentral lists this ribosomal RNA (253 nucleotides) under uncultured bacterium. RNAcentral's name for it is "partial 16S ribosomal RNA". It matches the Rfam family "Bacterial small subunit ribosomal RNA", at positions 524 to 776 of the family's 1533-position model. The record is from RNAcentral.